AUUGAACGCUGGCGGCAUGCCUUACACAUGCAAGCCGAACGGCAGCACGGGAGCAAUCCUGGUGGCGAGUGGCGAACGGGUGAGUAAAGUAUCGGAACGUGCCCAGUCGUGGGGGAUAACGUAGCGAAAGUUACGCUAAUACCGCAUACGAUCUAUGGAUGAAAGCGGGGGAUCGCAAGACCUCGCGCGAUUGGAGCGGCCGAUAUCAGAUUAGGUAGUUGGUGGGGGAAAGGCUCACCAAGCCGACGAUCUGUAGCUGGUCUGAGAGGACGACCAGCAACACUGGGACUGAGCACCGGCCCAGACUCCUACGGGAGGCAGCAGUGGGGAAUUUUGGACAAUGGGCGAAAGCCUGAUCCAGCCAUUCCGCGUGCAGGAUGAAGGCCUUCGGGUUGUAAACUGCUUUUGGACGGAACGAAAAGGUUUGGCCUAAUAAGCUGAGCUCAUGACGGUACCGUAAGAAUAAGCACCGGCUAACUACGUGCCAGCAGCCGCCGUAA
RNAcentral lists this ribosomal RNA (500 nucleotides) under uncultured bacterium. RNAcentral describes it as "partial 16S ribosomal RNA". It matches the Rfam family "Bacterial small subunit ribosomal RNA", at positions 30 to 523 of the family's 1533-position model. The record is from RNAcentral.